AGAAAACAAAAGAAAACAAAAGAAAAAUAAUUCUAAGAAAAAAAAUUAAGGUAAACUAAAACCUAACUAAAAGAUAUACUAAAAUAUGAACAAAGAAAAAUAAAAAAAUAAAAAGAGUUAGUAAAAAGAAAAGAAAAGUCACCAAACUUGUGAUGAAGAUCACAAGUACUCUGGAAAGGUGAUAUCACUGUAAAAUGGCACCAUCCCCG
Molecule: long non-coding RNA, 209 nt
Filed under: Vitis vinifera (wine grape)
Lineage: Eukaryota; Viridiplantae; Streptophyta; Magnoliopsida; Vitales; Vitaceae
Description: long non-coding RNA (VVIN_LNC003503)
Source: RNAcentral